This 427-nucleotide ribosomal RNA is filed under the name uncultured bacterium. Its description in RNAcentral is "partial 16S ribosomal RNA". It matches the Rfam family "Bacterial small subunit ribosomal RNA", at positions 355 to 774 of the family's 1533-position model. The record is from RNAcentral.
UGGGGAAUAUUGGACAAUGGGCGAAAGCCUGAUCCAGCCAUGCCGCGUGUGUGAAGAAGGUCUUCGGAUUGUAAAGCACUUUAAGUUGGGAGGAAGGGCAUUAACCUAAUACGUUAGUGUUUUGACGUUACCGACAGAAUAAGCACCGGCUAACUCUGUGCCAGCAGCCGCGGUAAUACAGAGGGUGCAAGCGUUAAUCGGAAUUACUGGGCGUAAAGCGCGCGUAGGUGGUUUGUUAAGUUGGAUGUGAAAUCCCCGGGCUCAACCUGGGAACUGCAUUCAAAACUGACUGACUAGAGUAUGGUAGAGGGUGGUGGAAUUUCCUGUUUAGCGGUGAAAUGCGUAGAUAUAGGAAGGAACACCAGUGGCGAAGGCGACCACCUGGACUAAUACUGACACUGAGGUGCGAAAGCGUGGGGAGCAAACA